GAUGAACGCUGGCGGCGUGCCUAAUACAUGCAAGUCGAGCGAACAGACGAGGAGCUUGCUCCUCUGACGUUAGCGGCGGACGGGUGAGUAACACGUGGAUAACCUACCUAUAAGACUGGGAUAACUUCGGGAAACCGGAGCUCAUACCGGAUAAUAUAUUGAACCGCAUGGUUCAAUAGUGAAAGACGGUUUUGCUGUCACUUAUAGAUGUAUCCGCGCCGCAUUAGCUAGUUGGUAAGGUAACGGCUUACCAAGGCAACGAUGCGUAGCCGACCUGAGAGGGUGAUCGGCCACACUGGAACUGAGACACGGUCCAGACUCCUACGGGAGGCAGCAGUAGGGAAUCUUCCGCAAUGGGCGAAAGCCUGACGGAGCAACGCCGCGUGAGUGAUGAAGGUCUUCGGAUCGUAAAACUCUGUUAUUAGGGAAGAACAAAUGUGUAAGUAACUAUGCACGUCUUGACGGUACCUAAUCAGAAAGCCACGGCUAACUACGUG
Molecule: ribosomal RNA, 497 nt
Filed under: uncultured bacterium
Lineage: Bacteria
Description: partial 16S ribosomal RNA
Rfam family: Bacterial small subunit ribosomal RNA
Source: RNAcentral